Physcomitrium patens is the source of this 1955-nucleotide non-coding RNA. NCBI's taxonomy places the organism in Eukaryota, Viridiplantae, Streptophyta, Bryopsida, Funariales, Funariaceae. The record is from RefSeq and is a predicted model, not a curated record.
GCGACGGAGACGAGGACGCCAUCGGCUGGAACUACGAGAAUCCGCAGUGGGAAAUUCGUCUCCGCAAUCCCUCGGAGACUCCGUAGCCCUAAUACACAUUUCAUGCAGCGAAUUCCAGUGCGAAGGAUUCCUCAGGUACCCAACAAAGGGCUUCGUGAUCUGUUGAGGUUUGUGGACCAAUGUUUAGCUAUCUCGUUGCAAACCAUUGUUUAUGGAUCCGCUCUUCGGCAUUGUCAGUUUGAGUUCUUGUGGUGCUUUUAAAUGGACGGUUUAAGAGGGGUUUGUAGUUUGAGGUAGCCGACGAUGUAGUCCGAUUGUGCGGUAGAUUCGAGCUACAGUGGUGCAGGAUUGGAGUGACAGGAAUAGGAGAGCAGCAAUGAAGGUGCGGGCGGCGGUUCGCCGAUUGUGCGAGUACUGCAAGGUGGUCAAGCGUCGGAACAGAGUUUUCGUAUUGUGUACCGUGAACCCAAAGCAUUAGCAACGUCAAGGGUUCUGUGAUUGUGCGUUCGAUGCCGAGAUUCCUUCCGUGUAACCUAUUUACCAUGCUUCCUUCAAUUGAGGCCAUUUAUCCUUUUUUCUUUUUUUUUCUUUUUUUUCUUUUUUUCAAUCCGCGCAAGCGUAGCGAUUGACUUUCUGAGUUUUUCCUCUUGUUAGAAGGCUAGUGGAGCAUGACAUUAACUUUAGCUGACAUUUGCUUCUCGAUUUUCCUGGAAUGUUGUUUGAAAAAUCCGGAACGCUCCCUUGCGUGUCUCGUCCUUGCAGAAGGGUUUUGGGCUUCUGUUUGCACUUUGUAGAGAUUGCACACGUCCAUUCAGUUACAAGAUUGUGUUAUUGGUUAUCAGUCUAUAUGAGGCUCAGAACACUACCAAAGGCUUUCUUUGAUUCUUCUGCUUCUGUUUCGAGCUAACAUAGUCAGAUUUUAUGAGACACCUUAGUGGGGUGUUAAUUGUGAGUGCUCGCGAGGUGCGUGUAUUGCGUUCUUAUUUUAAUUGAUGAUGCUUCUAGAUGUACCAAGUCCGUAGUUUGCACUGCGCUUCGCGAAUCAUAAAUUCUUUUACAAUAUGCGAUGUACUGGCCACUCGAUUUCUUGAGGCGGACCCCAAAGUCUUUCAAUACCCAACCCUCUCAGACUGUUAGUCUAGUUAAACCUGUAGAGUCUAGUGAGGGCGUUGGGUUAGCAUCUAUACUACCAAGUGUUACAGAAGCUACAAGUUCCUGAUUUGUUCCUGCAACAAGAUCUAUAUGAUUGUCUCGAUUCCAUUUUAACUUUGUUACGAAUUUUAGUUGGACUAUUUAUGGUUUCAGAGAACCCAUUGUGCCUUAUGAACCAUACGUGGGGUUUGCCACAUCUCAACGUUAUGAUUUUGAACACGAGUCCUCAGCAAUUCCUCUGUUAUUGAUCUCUGCAGUGAUUGAAUCUGUGGGUCAUGAUAUCAUUCACUAUUGGUUUCACUGAGAAAGAAAGUUUUAGAAAAAACUAUUGCAUUACUGGUGGACUACUGGUGGACUGGUGAAGAAUGUGUCGUUGCCUUAAUGACCUUUUUAAGCAAGGUAUGUUGGUAAGGGGAGAUUGAUCCAGCAAGAAGAGGAUGUCGUGUGUCGAGCAUCAAAGAUGCAGCAGAUUCAAGGUUUGCAGCACCCUCUCUUUGAAAGUCUUCACAGAUUCACAAUAGGCGAUUUAGAUUGCUUACUUCUUCUGUAGUUGUGCCUGUUGAUUUUGUGCCAUGAUACCUAAUUGUUAUUGAAAAUCAGCAAGUACUUGCUUAGUUACAACCACAUAGUAUGUGGUUAAUAGUAGAAAGGCAGCAAAGAAUUAAAGUAAGUUAUUGUGAUGGCACCAAGGGUUUAGUUGGAUGAGGUAGAAAUGGAUGUAAUAUCAAAAGGAUGGAAGUUGCCUAGUUGGUGAAGAAACCACUAUUUAUAAGUAAAGAGUGUUGGAAGUAAGAAUUAUCUUU